GUCUAUGGUCAUACCACCCUCAAUGUGCCCAAUCUCAUCUGAUGUUGGAAGAUAAACAGGGUCAGUCCUGGUUAAUGUUUGGAUGGGAGAAAGAUAGGUUUGGGCAUCAACACU
Molecule: ribosomal RNA, 114 nt
Filed under: Jaculus jaculus (lesser Egyptian jerboa)
Lineage: Eukaryota; Metazoa; Chordata; Mammalia; Rodentia; Dipodidae
Source: RNAcentral